RNAcentral lists this long non-coding RNA (934 nucleotides) under Vulpes vulpes (red fox). RNAcentral's name for it is "lncRNA (ENSVVUG00000015650.1)". The record is from RNAcentral. Lineage: Eukaryota; Metazoa; Chordata; Mammalia; Carnivora; Canidae.
GUCUUUAAAAGCUAUAAGAAAUGCUAGAACUCAUUCAUUCUCAACCCUCUUCUCCAUGAAGGAUUAAAUUCCAUGGAAGAAUCUUUGCAUCAUCAGUAACUAAGAUGAGAACAUUGACAGGCUGCUGAUAGUAUUCCCAGAUGACAUCACCGACACACUAGAUGAUGAAGCAGAAUCCAGUAAUUCAGUUUAACAACUAUUUACUGGUCACCAAGGAGGAGUCAGGCUGGAGUGAUUUGAUCCAGGCCUAGCAGCAUAGAUGGUGAAGAUUUCAUCCCAAAGUAAAUGUCAGUCACAAGUGGGCAUCAAGGAUAGAGUAGGCUCUGACAAGUGGAACUGCUGCAAAGUUCAUUAAUAAUGUGGAAUAAAUCAAUUGUUCAGGAAAUACUGAAAACAGAUGACACUGAACUCGUACAUUUUGCAAGUUCAGCACAAAUCCAUCUCCAGCAAGGACACAGAAUCUCCCCAUGUCCUUUUCUGACCUACCCAUGGAACCUGGUCUCCAAUCCUCCUUUCUUCAAGCAUUCCAUGGCUGUACAGCUACCCAAACCCCUGGGAGCACAGGGGGCCAAUGGUCACUCAAAAGGAAAUAGCCUCAGGCCAGAGAAGAAAGAACACGGAGGCUUUUCCAAGAUUUACAAACAUGAAGGUCAGCUACUUCCAGGAUGUGAAGAGUUCCUUACUAUAGGUGUUGGACACUGGCUACAGCAGCUUCAGAAGAUGUCAAGAGGGAUCCCUGGGUGGCGUAGCGGUUUGGCGCCUGCCUUUGGCCCAGGGCGCAAUCCUGGAGACCUGGGAUUGAAUCCCACGUCGGGCUCCCGGUGCAUGGAGCCUGCUUCUCCCUCUGCCUCUGUCUCUGCCUCUCUCUCUCUCUCUGUCUCUCUCUGUGAUUUUCAUAAAUAAAUAAUAAUUUUAAAAAAUUUUAAAAAUUGUA